This 94-nucleotide microRNA precursor is filed under the name Erinaceus europaeus (western European hedgehog). RNAcentral's name for it is "miRNA (ENSEEUG00000019411.1)". The record is from RNAcentral. Lineage: Eukaryota; Metazoa; Chordata; Mammalia; Eulipotyphla; Erinaceidae.
AUAUUUAUAUAUGGGUGUGUAUAUAUGUAUGUGUGUGUAUAUAUAUAUGUAUACACACACACACACACACACACACACACACAUACACACACAC